This 939-nucleotide long non-coding RNA is filed under the name Triticum aestivum (bread wheat). Its description in RNAcentral is "long non-coding RNA (TAES_LNC025255)". The record is from RNAcentral. Lineage: Eukaryota; Viridiplantae; Streptophyta; Magnoliopsida; Poales; Poaceae.
CAUCCGUACCGGCAAUAUCGAGAUGGAGGCCAACACCAUGGACGGCUGGAGCUGCGAGUAUAUUUGUCCAAGAUAUGGCAGUGUUCGUAGUCAUGGUUCUGGUAACUGUCUAUGAUCUCCAUAUCUUAACUAUUUGUGAAGACGGAAAUGCAAGUAAUAUUAUUCUUAGAUGCUCUUGCCCUUUUGAUUCGUAAAUUGCUAAACUGACAACUGAGCUCUCACUACUUGUAUUCAUAAAUUGCUGAAUUACCCACAUGAACUCUUGCUAUCACAGUCCGUAAAUUGCUGAAUUUCUCAUUAUGUCGCUUGCACUGUUCCAUAUGAGCAAUGUCUAUUGUGCUUUUAACCCGUCAACUAAGUAGGUACUAUGUUAUUAGUGGCUUGCUUUUAGGCCACAACCACAUCUGUUUAUUUUUCUCUGAGUAUGUUUAUUUUGUUAUGUGACCUGAAGUAGCAUAUUGAGUUCUAAGGGAAUACUUUCAGGUUAGAACUUUUCUUUGUAUUAGUCGUAAUCUAGCCGGGCAACCAAUGUAUCGGAAGUAAUGACCCUUUGUAUGAAGUAAUGUUUCUUAUUUGUAGGGCAACCCAUCACUAUUUGCAUCAUGUCAAUGCAUUGUGUAUUAACGGUUCAUUUGGUUAUUUUCUUUGUAGAUAUACAUGGAUGAUUAUAUGGGUGCGUGGCAAGUAUACUACAAUGAUGAUGAUGAUGAUGAUGAAGAUGAUGUCUGUUUUCAGUUUUAGUUAUGAUGGUUGUUUUCAGUUUUAGUUAAGUUGUAGGGAUGCUGUUCCUGUUGGAUGAUGUUCCUUGGUUAGGUUUUAGUUAAGUUGUAGGGUUGUUGAUGGAUGCUGUCAGUUUAACUUUCGUUGUCAAGAGAAUGUUUAGAUUAUGCAUCACAUUUGGAUGUUAUUCCUCCUGUAAUAUCAACUAUUGUAAUCCCA